Molecule: ribosomal RNA, 1442 nt
Filed under: Helicobacter pylori
Lineage: Bacteria; Pseudomonadati; Campylobacterota; Epsilonproteobacteria; Campylobacterales; Helicobacteraceae
Description: bacterial SSU rRNA
Rfam family: Bacterial small subunit ribosomal RNA
Source: RNAcentral
GUGCCGGCGUGACUAUACAUGCAAGUCGAACGAUGAAGCUUCUAGCUUGCUAGAGUGCUGAUUAGUGGCGCACGGGUGAGUAACGCAUAGGUUAUGUGCCUCUUAGUUUGGGAUAGCCAUUGGAAACGAUGAUUAAUACCAGAUACUCCCUACGGGGGAAAGAUUUAUCGCUAAGAGAUCAGCCUAUGUCCUAUCAGCUUGUUGGUAAGGUAAUGGCUUACCAAGGCUAUGACGGGUAUCCGGCCUGAGAGGGUGAACGGACACACUGGAACUGAGACACGGUCCAGACUCCUACGGGAGGCAGCAGUAGGGAAUAUUGCUCAAUGGGGGAAACCCUGAAGCAGCAACGCCGCGUGGAGGAUGAAGGUUUUAGGAUUGUAAACUCCUUUUGUUAGAGAAGAUAAUGACGGUAUCUAACGAAUAAGCACCGGCUAACUCCGUGCCAGCAGCCGCGGUAAUACGGAGGGUGCAAGCGUUACUCGGAAUCACUGGGCGUAAAGAGCGCGUAGGCGGGAUAGUCAGUCAGGUGUGAAAUCCUAUGGCUUAACCAUAGAACUGCAUUUGAAACUACUAUUCUAGAGUGUGGGAGAGGUAGGUGGAAUUCUUGGUGUAGGGGUAAAAUCCGUAGAGAUCAAGAGGAAUACUCAUUGCGAAGGCGACCUGCUGGAACAUUACUGACGCUGAUUGCGCGAAAGCGUGGGGAGCAAACAGGAUUAGAUACCCUGGUAGUCCACGCCCUAAACGAUGGAUGCUAGUUGUUGGAGGGCUUAGUCUCUCCAGUAAUGCAGCUAACGCAUUAAGCAUCCCGCCUGGGGAGUACGGUCGCAAGAUUAAAACUCAAAGGAAUAGACGGGGACCCGCACAAGCGGUGGAGCAUGUGGUUUAAUUCGAAGAUACACGAAGAACCUUACCUAGGCUUGACAUUGAGAGAAUCCGCUAGAAAUAGUGGAGUGUCUGGCUUGCUAGACCUUGAAAACAGGUGCUGCACGGCUGUCGUCAGCUCGUGUCGUGAGAUGUUGGGUUAAGUCCCGCAACGAGCGCAACCCCCUUUCUUAGUUGCUAACAGGUCAUGCUGAGAACUCUAAGGAUACUGCCUCCGUAAGGAGGAGGAAGGUGGGGACGACGUCAAGUCAUCAUGGCCCUUACGCCUAGGGCUACACACGUGCUACAAUGGGGUGCACAAAGAGAAGCAAUACUGCGAAGUGGAGCCAAUCUUCAAAACACCUCUCAGUUCGGAUUGUAGGCUGCAACUCGCCUGCAUGAAGCUGGAAUCGCUAGUAAUCGCAAAUCAGCCAUGUUGCGGUGAAUACGUUCCCGGGUCUUGUACUCACCGCCCGUCACACCAUGGGAGUUGUGUUUGCCUUAAGUCAGGAUGCUAAAUUAGCUACUGCCCACGGCACACACAGCGACUGGGGUGAAGUCGUAACCAAGGUAAGCCCGUA